This 321-nucleotide ribosomal RNA is filed under the name Triticum aestivum (bread wheat). RNAcentral's name for it is "partial small subunit ribosomal RNA". Lineage: Eukaryota; Viridiplantae; Streptophyta; Magnoliopsida; Poales; Poaceae. The record is from RNAcentral.
AUGAAAGAAGCCGGCAGCGAGUGGGGCCUGCAGCUUGUGUGCGGGGCGAGGAAGAGGAGGACGAGAAGUGAAACACUGUCCAUUGAUGCUGCCGCCUUGCUGCUAGGAGAAGGCGAGAGGAGGAGGCAGGAACCUGGGCCAGAAGCACAGAAGGACGAGGCUAUUCACGCGGUAAGCUGCUCCAGCAAAGCCAGCUUGCCGGUGCAACCCCAAGUACGACACGACCCAGGGGAUCACCUGAGGCGGCCUGAGCAGCCAUGUCGGCGCCGCACACACCAACGGAAAAAGGUUGUUCGACUUUGGCAAGAUCGAAGCACAUAG